GCGAACGCUGGCGGCAGGCUUAACACAUGCCAGUCGAGCGCCCCGCACGGGGAGCGGCAGACGGGUGAGUAACACGUGGGAACGUACCCUUUGGUUCGGAACAACCCAGGGAAACUUGGGCUAAUACCGGAUAAGUCCGCGAGGAGAAAGAUUUAUCGCCGAAGGAUCGGCCCGCGUCUGAUUAGCUAGUUGGUGUGGUAACGGCGCACCAAGGCGACGAUCAGUAGCUGGUCUGAGAGGAUGAUCAGCCACACUGGGACUGAGACACGGCCCAGACUCCUACGGGAGGCAGCAGUGGGGAAUAUUGGACAAUGGGGGCAACCCUGAUCCAGCCAUGCCGCGUGAGUGAUGAAGGCCCUAGGGUUGUAAAGCUCUUUCGGUGGGGAAGAUAAUGACGGUACCCACAGAAGAAGCCCCGGCUAACUUCGUG
Molecule: ribosomal RNA, 430 nt
Filed under: uncultured bacterium
Lineage: Bacteria
Description: partial 16S ribosomal RNA
Rfam family: Bacterial small subunit ribosomal RNA
Source: RNAcentral